GCUGUUCUGAUCAGGCAGUGUUUUUAAUGGUAAAAGACUGGAAAACAAAUCGAGCUGAGACCACAUACAGCUAGACUAGAGUGUUUUUGCAGGAUAUUUGUUUCCAGUCUUUUACCAUUAAAAACACUGCCUGAUCAGAACAGCCU
Molecule: small RNA, 146 nt
Filed under: Mytilus galloprovincialis (Mediterranean mussel)
Lineage: Eukaryota; Metazoa; Mollusca; Bivalvia; Mytilida; Mytilidae
Source: RNAcentral